RNAcentral lists this ribosomal RNA (253 nucleotides) under uncultured bacterium. Its description in RNAcentral is "partial 16S ribosomal RNA". It matches the Rfam family "Bacterial small subunit ribosomal RNA", at positions 524 to 776 of the family's 1533-position model. The record is from RNAcentral.
UACGUAGGGCGCGAGCGUUGUCCGGAAUUACUGGGCGUAAAGCGCGCGUAGGCGGACCUGCAAGUCGGGGGUGAAAGCCCGAGGCUCAACCUCGGAACUGCCUUCGAUACUGCGGGUCUCGAGUCCGGGAGAGGUGAGUGGAAUUCCUAGUGUAGAGGUGAAAUUCGUAGAUAUUAGGAAGAACACCAGUGGCGAAGGCGGCUCACUGGCCCGGUACUGACGCUGAGGCGCGAAAGCGUGGGGAGCAAACAGG